UCAUUUUUCAGAAAUAAGUUGCACUUUUUCUAUCAAUUGAAGUAGGGUAGCAUGUAUGUGCACAGAAAUUUUCGGGUUUGUGCUGUUAAUGACUCAAUGUGAAGCUUUGUGCAGAUAUUAUUUAUCCUUUAUUGCAAGGUGUGAUGCUAGUUUGGUUGCUGAAUUAUUCUUGUUUACCCAUUAGCGCACUUAAAUCUGUGCACUGUCGUUCUGUA
Molecule: unclassified non-coding RNA, 215 nt
Filed under: Hevea brasiliensis (rubber tree)
Lineage: Eukaryota; Viridiplantae; Streptophyta; Magnoliopsida; Malpighiales; Euphorbiaceae
Source: RNAcentral